Molecule: long non-coding RNA, 1193 nt
Filed under: Sus scrofa (pig)
Lineage: Eukaryota; Metazoa; Chordata; Mammalia; Artiodactyla; Suidae
Description: lncRNA (ENSSSCG00000058641.1)
Source: RNAcentral
CUAUGAUUUGUCACAACCGAGACUGUAGCACAUGACGAAAUCACUGACUUUGUAUGGAUUGCCACUAAUAUCCUUUUACUGUUAUAAGAGCAAGUCUGAGAUUUGUCUUGCCUUUAGCAUCCCUGAGAUUUGGACCCUGAGGUGUGAACUUUUGACCUGUCUGCCCUACUGCUCUUCCCACGAAGGUUUCGUGGCUAUAAACCGUUCAGGUGCUGCUCGCUGCCCCAGGUGUCUGUGGGCGGCCCCAGAAUGUGGCAUGCUGACUAGCUCACUGUUUUCUCUGUGUCUCCUUUCUGCUGGCGUGUGGAAAAGAAUGCAACCCGGUGACGGGCUUGUGAUUUGGCCCCUCUGACGUUUGCUGGUGCUCUCUGGUGUGUACGGGGGUGGGUGCUGUCCCAGAGCACCCAGAGCCGUGUGAGGCUUGGCCCUGCUCUCCGGGAGCUCCCUAUCCCCCCACUCUGACCCACCCACCACCCUGGCUCACUGGCCCUGAGAUCUGGCAUGAAGGGAGGGGAUCUCACUGAAAACCGUGGCCCUCUGAGCCCACUCCUUUACACUGUGAAUGAAAGAGACUGAACUUUACUGGCUGGGAAGUCAGGGAAAAUACAAAUUAUUGCACUGCCUACCCUACCCCUAGCUUUGCCACUUAGUACUUGUGAGGCCUUUGCCUUAGUCCCGGUUUUUUCAUGGAAAUCAGUAGUGCUGCGUCUGGUUUAGUGGUUAAAGAAGGUAGGCCGAAAGCCAGAUGAUUUGGGUCUCUGUUGUUUAUUAGCUGCGUGACCAUUGUCAUGUUACUUAACCUCUCUGUGCCUUACUUUCCUCAUCUGUGACGUGGGAAGAAUAGCAUCCACUCUACAGGGCUCUUAUGAAGAUGGAGAGAAUUAAUAAAUGUACAACAUCUAGAACUAUGCCCAGCAUGGAUAGCUCUCAACAAAUAUUAGUUAUUAUCAUCCAAUUCACAGGGAUGUUUAGAGAGAAUCAGAUGAGAUCAUUAUGGUAAAAGUGCAUUGUAAAUGGCAAAGCAUGCUAAAAAAGGACUGGUGCUAUUAUUUUUUACUUCCAAUUUUAUUGAUGUAAUUGACAUUUAGCACUUGUAAGUUUGGUACAGCAUGAUAAUGAUUUGACUACAUGCAUCAUGAAAUGAUUAUCACAGUAAGUUUAGUGAACAACCAUCAUCUCCUAUAGAAACAAAA